This 490-nucleotide ribosomal RNA is filed under the name uncultured bacterium. RNAcentral's name for it is "partial 16S ribosomal RNA". It matches the Rfam family "Bacterial small subunit ribosomal RNA", at positions 28 to 507 of the family's 1533-position model. The record is from RNAcentral.
GAUGAACGCUAGCUACAGGCUUAACACAUGCAAGUCGAGGGGCAGCAUGGUCUUAGCUUGCUAAGGCCGAUGGCGACCGGCGCACGGGUGAGUAACACGUAUCCAACCUGCCGUCUACUCUUGGACAGCCUUCUGAAAGGAAGAUUAAUACAAGAUGGCAUCAUGAGUCCGCAUGUUCACAUGAUUAAAGGUAUUCCGGUAGACGAUGGGGAUGCGUUCCAUUAGAUAGUAGGCGGGGUAACGGCCCACCUAGUCUUCGAUGGAUAGGGGUUCUGAGAGGAAGGUCCCCCACAUUGGAACUGAGACACGGUCCAAACUCCUACGGGAGGCAGCAGUGAGGAAUAUUGGUCAAUGGGCGCAGGCCUGAACCAGCCAAGUAGCGUGAAGGAUGACUGCCCUAUGGGUUGUAAACUUCUUUUAUAAGGGAAUAAAGUCGGGUAUGUAUACCCGUUUGCAUGUACUUUAUGAAUAAGGAUCGGCUAACUCCGUG